Molecule: ribosomal RNA, 471 nt
Filed under: uncultured organism
Description: partial 16S ribosomal RNA
Rfam family: Bacterial small subunit ribosomal RNA
Source: RNAcentral
CACUCCUACGGGAGGCAGCAGUAGGGAAUCUUCCACAAUGGGUGCAAACCUGAUGGAGCAAUGCCGCGUGAGUGAAGAAGGUCUCCGGAUCGUAAAGCUCUGUUGUUAGAGAAGAACACGUGCUAGGUAACUACUAGCGCCUUGACGGUAUCUAACCAGAAAGUCACGGCUAACUACGUGCCAGCAGCCGCGGUAAUACGUAGGUGACAAGCGUUGUCCGGAUUUAUUGGGCGUAAAGGGAGCGCAGGCGGUCUGUUUAGUCUAAUGUGAAAGCCCACGGCUUAACCGUGGAACGGCAUUGGAAACUGACAGACUUGAAUGUAGAAGAGGAAAAUGGAAUUCCAAGUGUAGCGGUGGAAUGCGUAGAUAUUUGGAGGAACACCAGUGGCGAAGGCGAUUUUCUGGUCUAACAUUGACGCUGAGGCUCGAAAGCGUGGGGAGCGAACAGGAUUAGAUACCCUAGUAGUCCCA